RNAcentral lists this ribosomal RNA (373 nucleotides) under uncultured organism. RNAcentral's name for it is "partial 16S ribosomal RNA". It matches the Rfam family "Bacterial small subunit ribosomal RNA", at positions 527 to 896 of the family's 1533-position model. The record is from RNAcentral.
GUAGGUGGCAAGCGUUGUCCGGAAUUAUUGGGCGUAAAUCGCGCGCAGGCGGUUUUUUAAGUCUGAUGUGAAAGCCCACGGGCUCAACCGUGGAGGGUCAUUGGAAACUGGAGAACUUGAGUACAGAAGAGGAAAGCGGAAUUCCACGUGUAGCGGUGAAAUGCGUAGAGAUGUGGAGGAACACCAGUGGCGAAGGCGGCUUUCUGGUCUGUAACUGACGCUGAGGCGCGAAAGCGUGGGGAGCAAACAGGAUUAGAUACCCUGGUAGUCCACGCCGUAAACGAUGAGUGCUAAGUGUUAGGGGGUUUCCGCCCCUUAGUGCUGCAGCUAACGCAUUAAGCACUCCGCCUGGGGAGUACGGCCGCAAAGGCUG